Molecule: ribosomal RNA, 749 nt
Filed under: Bursaphelenchus leoni
Lineage: Eukaryota; Metazoa; Nematoda; Chromadorea; Rhabditida; Aphelenchoididae
Description: partial large subunit ribosomal RNA
Rfam family: Eukaryotic large subunit ribosomal RNA
Source: RNAcentral
GGAAAGUUGAAAAGUACUUGAAAAGAGAGUGCAAAAGAACGCGAAACCGGUGUAAUGGAAGCAUAUGGAGUUGUCGUAUCUGGUGUGUGUUCAGCUGUCGGGCGUGCCGAUUGCUGGGUUUGGCAUUCCGCAAGGUUGUCGGCUCGGUAUUGUCGGUGGGUUCGGCGGUGCAUUCACGCACGGAGUGCGCCGAGUCGCGUGGCGCUGUCGAUCGAAGCGCGUUAAGAGGACUUGUCUUCGGGCGAGAACCCUUGGCGUGUGUAGGUCGGUUGGUGCUGCGUGAUUUCGUGGAGGCACGGGCUUGUCGCGCUGUCAGGCGGCGAUUGUAGUGGUUCGCGUUGGACACAUGUGUACUGCGCUUAUGAUUGCGGUCGUCGUCGGGCGGUGCUCUGUGCUCUUCUCGGUGUAUAGACAAUGACCCAUUUGACCCGUCUUGAAACACGGACCAAGGAGUUUAUGGUAUACGCGAGUCAUUGGGCUUGGAAACCCAUAGGCGUAAUGAAAGUGAGACCUUACUGGUUUUAAUGUGAUCGUUGGUUGUUUCGACGGCCGGCGAGCAACAUUGCCCCGUUUCGAGGACUUGUCCUGUUGCGGAGGUUGAGCGUAUGCUAUGAGACCCGAAAGAUGGUGAACUAUGCCUGAGCAGGAUGAAGCCAGAGGAAACUCUGGUGGAAGUCCGAAGCGGUUCUGACGUGCAAAUCGAUCGUCUGACUUUGGUAUAGGGGCGCAAGACUAAUCGAACAUCUAGU